This 299-nucleotide ribosomal RNA is filed under the name uncultured soil bacterium. Its description in RNAcentral is "partial 16S ribosomal RNA". It matches the Rfam family "Bacterial small subunit ribosomal RNA", at positions 26 to 351 of the family's 1533-position model. The record is from RNAcentral.
AGAACGAACGCUGGCGGCAUGCCUAAUACAUGCAAGUCGAACGAACACUUCGGUGUUAGUGGCGCACGGGUGCGUAACGCGUGGGAAUCUGCCCUUGGGUUCGGAAUAACAGUUGGAAACGACUGCUAAUACCGGAUGAUAUCGAAAGACCAAAGAUUUAUCGCCCAGGGAUGAGCCCGCGUAGGAUUAGCUAGUUGGUGAGGUAAAGGCUCACCAAGGCGACGAUCCUUAGCUGGUCUGAGAGGAUGAUCAGCCACACUGGGACUGAGACACCGGCCCAGACUCCGUACGGGAGGCAG